This 376-nucleotide ribosomal RNA is filed under the name uncultured bacterium. RNAcentral describes it as "bacterial SSU rRNA". It matches the Rfam family "Bacterial small subunit ribosomal RNA", at positions 524 to 898 of the family's 1533-position model. The record is from RNAcentral.
UACAGAGGUGGCAAGCGUUGUUCGGAAUUACUGGGCGUAAAGGGCGCGUAGGCGGUCCCGUCAGUCCCUUGUGAAAUCCCCCGGCUCAACUGGGGAACUGCAAGGGAUACAGCGGGGCUUGAGUUCGGGAGAGGGAAGCGGAAUUCCGGGUGUAGCGGUGAAAUGCGUAGAUAUCCGGAGGAACACCGGUGGCGAAGGCGGCUUCCUGGACCGAUACUGACGCUGAGGCGCGAAAGCUAGGGGAGCAAACGGGAUUAGAUACCCCGGUAGUCCUAGCUGUAAACGAUGAGUGCUGGGUGUAGAGGGUAUUAACCCCUUCUGUGCCGAAGCUAACGCAUUAAGCACUCCGCCUGGGGAGUACGGUCGCAAGGCUGAA